Molecule: ribosomal RNA, 492 nt
Filed under: uncultured bacterium
Lineage: Bacteria
Description: partial 16S ribosomal RNA
Rfam family: Bacterial small subunit ribosomal RNA
Source: RNAcentral
AGUGAACGCUGGCGGUAGGCCUAACACAUGCAAGUCGAACGGCAGCACAGUAAGAGCUUGCUCUUACGGGUGGCGAGUGGCGGACGGGUGAGGAAUACAUCUGAAUCUACUUUUUCGUGGGGGAUAACGUAGGGAAACUUACGCUAAUACCGCAUACGACCUACGGGUGAAAGCAGGGGAUCUUCGGACCUUGCGCGAUUGAAUGAGCCGAUGUCGGAUUAGCUAGUUGGCGGGGUAAAGGCCCACCAAGGCGACGAUCCGUAGCUGGUCUGAGAGGAUGAUCAGCCACACUGGAACUGAGACACGGUACAGACUCCUACGGGAGGCAGCAGUGGGGAAUAUUGGACAAUGGGCGCAAGCCUGAUCCAGCCAUACCGCGUGGGUGAAGAAGGCCUUCGGGUUGUAAAGCCCUUUUGUUGGGAAAGAAAAGCAGCAGGUUAAUACCCCGCUGUUCUGACGGUACCCAAAGAAUAAGCACCGGCUAACUUCGUG